GCGAGGCAUAAAAUGUCAAAGUCGCUCCGUCAGAAAACUCCGCCGCCGAGUCAAUUUCUCUCGGAUUUUUUUCCUGGCGGAUCACCCAACACACAGAGCCAAAAUAUUUAUUACUCCUCUGUGCAUGCGUGUUGCUGUAGAACAUAUAUUUUUUCAAAGGAAAUCUGUGAUGGUGUCCGGACCACCCUGCCUGAGUUGAGAUGGAAUCACCCAGGUUUGCCGAGGACUUCGUUCGUUCAACGUUCAACGUUCGACUGGACGUUGCACCUCGGACGGUUCGGGAGAAUCUGGACGUCGCAAGGCUGGACCAGGCUCGCCAGUAAACCGAGUCCGACGGAAUCUCACCUACAGCGUCGAUGACCUUGUCCUUCGACGGACUCACCAGCUUAGUGGCUCCGUCACUGUCACUCGAGCGACGAAACGGGGCCAGUAUACAUCCCAGACCUGAAGAUUUACCACCUCCGAGACCCCGAGGGGGAAGAGGCAGACUCCUCCGCAAGACCUGGACCAGGACCUUCCAGACCUUUCUGGACCCUCACUGCCACCUGACCCCCACCGCCACUUGGCUUCCUGGACCUUCCAGCCGCAGUUUGCGUCCGCGCAGGCGGCACAUGUAGCCGCCACUAUCCCAGUCACGAAAUCCUAGUGCUCUUGCGUAGUUGGUCUUUCUUAUAGUGUGAUUUCUCUUUUGCAAUCUUCAGCUAUAAUCUUCUGGGGGAGAGCCCUUUCAGGUUCUCAUGGUCUGACAUUGUUUUCUAACCGUAUUCCCCUAUGCUUUCCUCGCAGACUACGAUGCCUCCAAGGAAGAAGAAACGCCCGGACCUGCAUCUUCCCUAGACCGGAGCGUUGCCUAACCGCCUGCACACCCCAGUGCACAGGUACUGGCCACUCAACGAUCAGUGGUGACUUAGAUACUUGUGUCCGGCGACAUACAUGUUUCAAAACUCCUUUUUUGUUCGCUCAAUACCACAUUGGAACAGCCUUCCACGUGACCUUGUCCUUUCAGACUCAGCGACUCUGUUUUCACAAAAACUGGUUUCUUUCUUUUCGGAGUAACGGCUCACACUUUGGUUAGAUUUUGUACUUGUUUGUGUUGUUGAUGUGUUAUCACGCCAUACAUUCUUUUGGCUCAAUGCGUACUACGUGUUAUUGUAUUUUUGUUAUUAUUGCAUGUCGUGUACUGCACUCUCCCCUACGUAAUUCCACUGAUGUGGAGCAGUAGGGUACGAUCGAUAAAUAAAUAAAAUACCGGUAUCAUGGGCUUCACGUCCCAUGAAGCCCGUGUAUCAUCAUCAUACACAUACACAUCAUAUGAUCACAAUCCCGGUGGACAUCUCAACCACGACCUCUCCGCACACACGAUCCAUCCAGAGCGCCAGAGGGGUCUCUGAUCGGCACCCCAACGAUCCACCCCUUCCUCUCUCCGAAGACGAAAGGCGAGUCCUCUGUCCGAUCUGCCGUGUGCCCGAAUUACACCGUAGAACUCACCGGCAAGGCACCCUCCACAACACCAAGCUACAGACCAUCUACGCCUAUCCUCCUGAGCCCUGACCCUGAGACGGAUAAGGCCGGAGUUACUCGGACCCCUCCUCAACCCCAAGCUUUCGAAGACGGCAUCCUUGACAUGGGCGACGACGAUUUGUAGUCCACGAAGAUUAGUACCGUUGUUAUAAAGGCGGGGGGGAUAUAAACCGCCAAUAGAUGGCGCCACAGGCGGUGGUGACGGGACGGCACGUGUUAGAGGAGCGCGUGAGAAGAGGACGAAGAACUCUUCUGUGUGGUCAUUGGUCAUUGAUGCGACCGAUCGUUGGGAGACAAGAUGUAGAAACUUCCGCUGUGUCUGCCGAUGAGGAACCACAGCCUGGGUGCCGACGUCUUCUUGGCUUGCAUGCGAAAUACGCUGGCAGUGCUGUGAGCGUACAAUCCACUCUGCGAAGGUCUCACCCUCCGACUGGCCGAGUGCUUGUGCCACAAUACAUCCACAUGCAGGAUCGCCAGCCACAGCACUCCAGCAGCUGCUACAAGAAUGCUGAAUAUCUGCAAGCGAGUUACCCACUUAUUGCUCACAUACCAGGGAAACGUAUACCGGUUACCUCGGAGACAUGAAAAUUGUCCAGGGCACGAUCGGCCGCACAGAAGGUGGCGCCCAUAGUGAAGAUGAAGACGCCAUAGAUGCUGCUCAGCAUAAGACUCAAGUAACGCCUGCAAAAACAGAGGCUUUCGAUCAAAAGACACAAUGGCUAUGACGUUAGGAACCUUGGUUUCGAUGCCAGCUCCUCGUCUUGUUUGUCCACGACGGAGGCACUCCAUCGGAUGGAUUUGACGGGCUCGUCGGGUUUCACCACGUCGUUGUCUGUCGGUACCAUCCUCGUCAUCUGCGUUACUGCGGGCGACUGUCAUUCAAUCUGGCAUGAAAUGCGCGGCGUGCCUGUCAACACGUUUCCUUUCGUCCUUCGGGUGGUCGACUGUCGCAAAUGAUCGACAAUUAUCUUUGGUAUGUAAAAUCCAAGGACAACAUCCCCUUUAGAUUGCGUGCAAGAAGGGAAAACAAGAAGGUUUGCACUGAGCCGGGUUCUUGUGGGAAGCUACCAAUCUUUAGAGAAAUACCCGAUAAAAUAUAAGUCCAUC
This is a long non-coding RNA of Ornithodoros turicata, 2628 nucleotides long. RefSeq lists it as uncharacterized. The record is from RefSeq and is a predicted model, not a curated record. The transcript has 3 exons. NCBI's taxonomy places the organism in Eukaryota, Metazoa, Arthropoda, Arachnida, Ixodida, Argasidae.